Molecule: ribosomal RNA, 292 nt
Filed under: uncultured bacterium
Lineage: Bacteria
Description: partial 16S ribosomal RNA
Rfam family: Bacterial small subunit ribosomal RNA
Source: RNAcentral
GUUCCAGCAGCCGCGGUAAUACGGAGGGUGCGAGCGUUGUUCGGAAUUACUGGGCGUAAAGCGCGUGUAGGCGGCCUUGUAAGUCAGAUGUGAAAGCCCUCGGCUUAACCGGGGAAGUGCAUCUGAAACUGCUUGGCUUGAGUACCGGAGAGGGAGGCGGAAUUCCCAGUGUAGAGGUGAAAUUCGUAGAUAUUGGGAGGAACACCGGUGGCGAAAGCGGCCUCCUGGACGGAUACUGACGCUGAGACGCGAAAGCGUGGGGAGCAAACAGGAUUAGAAACCCCUGUAGUCC